GUUGAAAUGACGGUUCUCGUCCUAUUACCGAAGUUAAGCAAUGUUGAGCCUGGUCUGUACCUAGAUGGGUGACCAUUUAGGAAUACCAGGUGUUGUAAG
Molecule: non-coding RNA, 99 nt
Organism: Acanthosepion pharaonis
Lineage: Eukaryota; Metazoa; Mollusca; Cephalopoda; Sepiida; Sepiidae
Source: the annotation of a GenBank genome assembly